CUGUCUAUAUUGUUUGCAGAAGUCGAUCUUUAUAAUAGUGCUUGAACUAACGUUAAUACAAACAAAGCAAGCAAGCCAACUGAAGUUUUACUCUACAAGCAUUAGGAAAUUAGCUGUAAUGGUACAAUUAAAGCCAGGAGCAUUUGAGAUCGUAAAUAAAUUACUGCAACCUAAAACACAGCCGUAGUCCGUUUUAAAAUCGUUUAAUGUG
This 211-nucleotide long non-coding RNA is filed under the name Mytilus galloprovincialis (Mediterranean mussel). Lineage: Eukaryota; Metazoa; Mollusca; Bivalvia; Mytilida; Mytilidae. The record is from RNAcentral.